UUCCCUUCGGGGAUGAAAGUUAGUGGCGAACGGGUGAGUAAUGUAUGAGCAACCUGCCUCUGUCAACGGGAUAACAGUUGGAAACGACUGCUAAUACGGUAUAUGACCACGGCACCGCAUGGUGCAGCGGUAAAAGAUUUUAUCGGACAGAGAUGGGCUCAUAACCCAUUAGGUAGUUGGUGAGAUAACAGCCCACCAAGCCGACGAUGGGUAGCCGAGCUGAGAGGCUGAUCGGCCACAUUGGGACUGAAACACGGCCCAGACUCC
This 267-nucleotide ribosomal RNA is filed under the name uncultured bacterium. RNAcentral describes it as "partial 16S ribosomal RNA". It matches the Rfam family "Bacterial small subunit ribosomal RNA", at positions 74 to 339 of the family's 1533-position model. The record is from RNAcentral.